GCCACCGACAUAUGAGUUGUCUACUCAAAAUAGUCACGGAUAUUGGACCUCUGCUUUGCUGGCUUCAAGCUCUCAAUUGUUCGUCUUUUAUGUCUAUUGUAUGCUAAGACAAUAUAUAGAGAGAGACUCUCCUAGUUGGCCAUUUUCACUUCUCCAUGGUAUGUUCCUUCUACAAUCACAUCAUCAGCACUCCUCUACCCAAAAGGAACCCGGCCACCACAACCCAAUUUGAGUUUCCUUUUUCUCUCUCGAUGGUUUUGAUUCCCACUUGAAGUUCCUGUUCUUGAUCUGCAAAAGAAAGCUGCUUUGCGGAAGUGGUCAAAUUGAAGUGUUCACCUAUUGUUCUAAGAAGUAGAGGAGAAGAGACUUCACAAUUGGGUUUUUGUUUCACAGUUAUUGCUUUCAGUUGUCUUAUUGUUUUAUACUAGAUUAUUUUUGCAAAAAAGUUGAGGGACAUAGAUGCCCCCUGCAUCAACUGUAUCCAACUCGCAGGUCCCGCCAAUGGACAUGCAGGGGGCCGAUUCUGGCUCCAAAGAGUUCAUACGACCACUUGGUCGGGAUCCUACUCAGCCCGAGAUUUUUCGUCGUACCCAUCAGAAAAGGGUACUGGAGAAUUUAUUGAUGCACGGUCGGCUAAAAUAUAUGCUGACUAUGAGAAGAUGAAAGAAGCCAAGCAAAUCUUUGCUCGGGUUGGAAUGCAACCGCCAUGUAAUGACGUUGACGAUGAGGAGCACGAUUCUGACGGGGUUUAGAUUAUAGAUUGCAGAAUUGUUGUAAUAUUUUUUCACAAUUUGACUUCAACAUAAUUUUUAUAUAAAUAUUUUUAUUA
Long non-coding RNA from Tripterygium wilfordii, 829 nucleotides. RefSeq lists it as uncharacterized. The transcript has 3 exons. The record is from RefSeq and is a predicted model, not a curated record. Lineage: Eukaryota; Viridiplantae; Streptophyta; Magnoliopsida; Celastrales; Celastraceae.